AGCGUAGGCGGCGCGGUAAGUCAGAUGUGAAAUCCCGGGGCUCAACCCCGGAACUGCAUCCGAUACUGCCGCGCUGGAGUAAUGGAGGGGUAGCUGGAAUUCACGGUGUAGCAGUGAAAUGCGUAGAUAUCGUGAGGAACACUCGUGGCGAAAGCGAGCUACUGGACAUUUACUGACGCUGAGGCUCGAAGGCCAGGGGAGCGAAAG
Molecule: ribosomal RNA, 207 nt
Filed under: uncultured bacterium
Lineage: Bacteria
Description: partial 16S ribosomal RNA
Rfam family: Bacterial small subunit ribosomal RNA
Source: RNAcentral